GGGACUGUAGCGCAGCCUGGAUAGCGCGAAGCACUCCUAAUGCUUAGGUCGUGGGUUCAAAUCCCAUCAGUCCCG
This 75-nucleotide transfer RNA is filed under the name Candidatus Woesearchaeota archaeon. RNAcentral describes it as "tRNA-Arg". It matches the Rfam family "tRNA". Rfam says of the family: Transfer RNA (tRNA) molecules are approximately 80 nucleotides in length. Lineage: Archaea; Nanobdellati; Candidatus Woesearchaeota. The record is from RNAcentral.